This 31-nucleotide ribosomal RNA is filed under the name Brassica oleracea var. viridis (kale). Its description in RNAcentral is "partial large subunit ribosomal RNA". Lineage: Eukaryota; Viridiplantae; Streptophyta; Magnoliopsida; Brassicales; Brassicaceae. The record is from RNAcentral.
GAAUCAGUACAGACAUGAUGAACUGCAAUCC